Molecule: long non-coding RNA, 248 nt
Filed under: Cercocebus atys (sooty mangabey)
Lineage: Eukaryota; Metazoa; Chordata; Mammalia; Primates; Cercopithecidae
Description: lncRNA (ENSCATG00000045709.1)
Source: RNAcentral
UUCCACCUGAGGAGCACAAAAGACCCCAGGAGUGGAGGAAGCUGGCCUGAGGCCAACCGGAUGUAGCAGACUUGCUGGGCCCAAGGAGGGAGGUCUGGUGAUGGAGCCUCAAGUACAUAUCCUUCCAAUCCUAAGAAAGAGGAUAGAUUGCCACAUGCCGGAACUGGAGUCUUGGCUUUCGAAAGCUCUUUUCCAUUACCUCUGCAGCAAGAAUGACGUCUUCUAAAGACUCAGGAUGGCCUCUAAUG